ACACAUCUGUGAUGAUUAUAAGUUAUCCCUGUCAGACAUCUUUUGUGUUGAUAGCGCAUAGUCUGAGAUGUUG
Molecule: small nucleolar RNA, 73 nt
Organism: Hydractinia symbiolongicarpus
Lineage: Eukaryota; Metazoa; Cnidaria; Hydrozoa; Anthoathecata; Hydractiniidae
Product: small nucleolar RNA R38
Exons: 1
Source: RefSeq, a predicted model, not a curated record